GAUGAACGCUAGCGACAGGCUUAACACAUGCAAGUCGAGGGGCAGCGGGGUUUUAGCUUGCUAAAACUGCCGGCGACCGGCGCACGGGUGAGUAACACGUAUGCAACCUGCCCAUUGCAGGGGGAUAAGCGGAAGAAAUUCCGUCUAAUACCGCGUAAUAUCCUUUGGAGGCAUCUUCAUAGGAUUAAAGAAAUUCGGCAAUGGAUGGGCAUGCGGCGCAUUAGCUAGUUGGCGGGGUAACGGCCCACCAAGGCGACGAUGCGUAGGGGUUCUGAGAGGAAGGUCCCCCACACUGGUACUGAGACACGGUCCAGACUCCUACGGGAGGCAGCAGUGAGGAAUAUUGGUCAAUGGUCGGAAGACUGAACCAGCCAAGUAGCGUGAAGGAUGAAGGUUCUAUGGAUUGUAAACUUCUUUAAUAUAGGAAUAAAACCUCCACGUGUGGGAGCUUGUAUGUACUAUAUGAAUAAGCAUCGGCUAACUCCGUGCCAGCAGCCGACGG
Molecule: ribosomal RNA, 502 nt
Filed under: uncultured bacterium
Lineage: Bacteria
Description: bacterial SSU rRNA
Rfam family: Bacterial small subunit ribosomal RNA
Source: RNAcentral